This 1217-nucleotide ribosomal RNA is filed under the name uncultured Rhizaria. RNAcentral's name for it is "SSU rRNA". It matches the Rfam family "Eukaryotic small subunit ribosomal RNA", at positions 577 to 1805 of the family's 1831-position model. The record is from RNAcentral.
CGGUAAUUCCAGCUCCAAUAGCGUAUACUAAAGUUGUUGCAGUUAAAAAGCUCGUAGUUGGAUUUCUGCGGGGACGGAGCGGCCGGACGCAACUUGCGUCUCGAGCUAGCGCUUUCCCCGCAUCCUGCCGCGAACCGUGCUACCAUUAGCUUGGUGGCGCUGGGGAUCGGCUCGAUUACUUUGAGAAAAAUAGAGUGUUCAAAGCAGGCCACACGCCUUGAAUAAGUUAGCAUGGAAUAAUGACUAAGGACUUUGGUUCUUUUCGUUGGUGUCCGGGACUGAAGUAAUGAUUGAUAGGGACAGUUGGGGCGGUCUGUAUUCCAAAGCGAGAGGUGAAAUUCUUAGACCUUCGGAAGACAAACAGCUGCGAAAGCGUUCCGCAAGGAUGUUCCCUUUGAUCAAGAACGAAAGUUGGGGGAUCGAAGACGAUCAGAUACCGUCGUAGUCUCAACUAUAAACUAUACCAGCUAGGGAUCGGCCAACGUUUAAUUAUUCGACUUGGUCGGCACCUUAUGAGAAAUCAAAGCAUCUGGGUUCCGGGGGGAGUAUGGUCGCAAGGCUGAAACUUAAAGGAAUUGACGGAAGGGCACCACCAGGCGUGGAGCCUGUGGCUUAAUUUGACUCAACACGGGAAAACUUACCAGGUCCAGACAUAGGAAGGAUUGACAGAUUGAUAGCUCUUUCUUGAUUCUGUGGGUGGUGGUGCAUGGCCGUUUUUAGUCGGUGAAGUGAUUUGUCUGCUUAAUUGCGUUAACGGACGAGACCCCAGCCUGCUAAAUAGCGCGGCCGAGCUUUGCUCGGUGCGAGCUUCUUAGAGGGACCAUGAUGCGCGAUAGCACAAGGAAGUUUGGGGCAACAACAGGUCUGUGAUGCCCUUAGAUGUUCUGGGCCGCACACGGGCUACACUGGCGCCUGCAACGAGCAUAUCAGCUGGCCCGAGAGGGUCUUGGCUAAUCUUUGGAACCGGCGCCGUGCUUGGGAUUGACCAUUGCAAUUGUUGGUCAUGCAACGAGGAAUGCCUUGUAAACGCGAGUCAUCAGCUCGCAUUGAAUACGUCCCUGCCCUUUGUACACACCGCCCGUCGCUCCUACCGAUGAAUGUUCCGAUGAAAUUUUCGGAGAGCGCCGGAGAACGGGGCUCUGCCCUGCAGAACUGGAGGCUCAAAGUCACUUAAAUCUGAACAUUUCGAGGAAGGAGAAGUCGUAACAAGGUAGCCG